CGGCAGCGGGGGUAGCUUGCUACCUGCCGGCGAGUGGCGAACGGGUGAGUAAUACAUCGGAACGUGCCCUGUAGUGGGGGAUAACUAGUCGAAAGACUAGCUAAUACCGCAUACGACCUGAGGGUGAAAGUGGGGGACCGCAAGGCCUCAUGCUAUAGGAGCGGCCGAUGUCUGAUUAGCUAGUUGGUGGGGUAAAGGCCCACCAAGGCGACGAUCAGUAGCUGGUCUGAGAGGACGAUCAGCCACACUGGGACUGAGACACGGCCCAGACUCCUACGGGAGGCAGCAGUGGGGAAUUUUGGACAAUGGGGGCAACCCUGAUCCAGCAAUGCCGCGUGUGUGAAGAAGGCCUUCGGGUUGUAAAGCACUUUUGUCCGGAAAGAAAUCGCACUGGUUAAUACCUGGUGUGGAUGACGGUACCGGAAGAAUAAGGACCGGCUAACUACGUGCCAGCAGCCGCGGUAAUACGUAGGGUCCAAGCGUUAAUCGGAAUUACUGGGCGUAAAGCGUGCGCAGGCGGUUGUGCAAGACCGAUGUGAAAUCCCCGGGCUUAACCUGGGAAUUGCAUUGGUGACUGCACGGCUAGAGUGUGUCAGAGGG
RNAcentral lists this ribosomal RNA (600 nucleotides) under Ralstonia solanacearum. RNAcentral's name for it is "bacterial SSU rRNA". It matches the Rfam family "Bacterial small subunit ribosomal RNA", at positions 67 to 658 of the family's 1533-position model. The record is from RNAcentral. Lineage: Bacteria; Pseudomonadati; Pseudomonadota; Betaproteobacteria; Burkholderiales; Burkholderiaceae.